UGUAAUAUCAUUGGCAAUAGUCUUUGUGACUUUGGUGCAGUGACAUUACGAAAGGAUCGUUGCAUAGAAUGUUAGAAUCUAGCAUAUUCUAUAAGUAGCAAGAAUUUGAUAUUCUUUCACUUAUGAAAAAGGGUUUGGAGUUGUGAAAUGAGAAUGAUUGGAAAUGUGUUCAAUGUGAUCUAUUUCACAAAGUAAGAACCAUAGGUAAACAUUGUGUGCAUGCUAGGAGCAUGGGACAAGUGUUGUAAUUCAAGUAAGAAGUUGAUUACCCGAAACGACAAAUAAUGAGUAAUCAAUAUGGUGAUAAAUAAAAGGUGUUUUAUUUAUACUCAAAGGUUUGAGGCCAUAUGGGAUUAGUAUUAUUCUUGUGUUUCACAUUUGCAUGUUUUGACUUCCAGAAUAAUUGAGUUUAUUAAGAAUAAUCGAAUUAUUCAAACGGGCCACAGUCGUUCAUAUGUUGGAAGUAGAUAUGAAUGAAGACUGUCGUGAAUUGGUGUGUGGAUUGUCUAAAAGAGUAUUAGACAUAAGCAAAUGUUUGCUGCAACGUUCAUGAGUGCUUAUGAAUAUGAUUUGAGCAUUGGAUUAAACCCACGCUCACUUGGAUCACUCCAUGAAUUGUAUCACGAGUGAUUGGUGAGACGAUAACAUCUUAUAUUCUUGAAACCGAGAUGUGUGAGUUGUAUCUUGCAAAUCGGUUGCACAUUGAUAAUAUGUAAACGCACUAGUAACUUGGUGUUACAAGACAUAUUGUUGUGUGUGAUUCGGUGUGUGAGUGCAAUCGAACAUUGUAUCAAAGUUUAUCCGUUCCUUUUAUCCAAAGUAGGAUAAAAGCGAUAUCUUUGGGCCCCUCGAUGGUUUAGUGAUGACAAACGUAAAUGCUCGGCCGGGCUAGGGCUAAUUUGAUUUGUUCAAUUAGUCAGUCGUCAUAAAUCGGAGAUCGAGAAAUAGUACAAAGAGAAUGAUUAGAAAUCAUAUCUUACGAUAUCUAGAAUGGAGGAAUAUAUGAUCCCUUAUCUAAAGGACACGCGUAUCUGAUAGGAUCAGAGUUGACAGCGGCUUUGGAAAGCUACGAUUGCAGAUCAGGAUCUGAAGUCAUACGCAUAAUAGUUAUUAGACUUAUCCAAGUGGGAGACUGUUGGAUUAGUGUCUAAGUCCAUAACUAUUUUGGUAUGUACUUGACCCGAUGGUGCAUGGUCCUUUUGGGUUGCCUUCACCAAAACAACUUGAUAGGAUGAAUUAUGGAGAGAAAGGAUUAAAUAUGAUUUAUUAAUAUAUUAUGAGAAUAAUAUAUUAAAGGAGAAAUCAUAUUGUUUAAUUAAUAUUAGUCAAUAAUUAAUUGGUAAUUAGUUUUGUGACUAAAAGAGAUUAAGUAAACUUAAGGGACUGGAUUUGUAAUUAUAAGACAAUUGCAAUUUGGGCCAUGGAUUGACUUAUAGUAAGGGGUGGACGAAUUCUAUGGGAAACCCAUAAAAAAUCGUCCAAGGCCUUAAGGAAAGGGAUCAAUGGGUUGUUUAGGGGUUAAGCAUCCAAAUUAGGGUUUCCUUGUUAGAUAACCCUAAUAGCCUCACUAUAAAUAGACCCCUUAUGACCUAAAAACAUGGCUAAGACUUGUUCUAGGGUUUCACACGUUUUUUGGGCAGCUUCCAUUCUCUCUCCUCUUCAUCCUCUUGCUUAUGGUGUUUGUGAACCAUUAGAGGAGUGACAUUUGUGACUCUAAGCUUUCUAAAGUCAUUACAAGGAGAUUUGGGAUUGUUAUUGCUACAUAUCAAUCAAGGUAAUAUCUUAAACCCAUUCUUAUGUUAAUAUGAUUACUUGUAUGCUAGAAUUAGGGUUUAUAGUCUUGGAUAACUUGCAUGUACAAUAGAGAAACCUAGAUCCAAGCAUUAGGGUUUGUAUGAGCACAUAGGAUGUUCUUAUAGCUAAAACCCAUCAGUGGUAUCAGAGAGUAGACUGGUUUCAAUUGUAUUGAUGCAUUGUAUAAUUGAAAAAUUCGAUUUUUGUGGUUCUGGAGGCUAGACUCGCUGAGUCCAUAGAUGAACUCGCCGAGUCCAUGCUGACUCGACGAGUCCAUGCCUGACUCGGCGAGUCGGCUGGUCAGAUGGAGGGUAAACCGGGAUUUCUUGCUGUUUUUGCUUAAGGAUAGUUGCCUUAUCACAUUAGAUCAAUAUAAAUCCGAUUUUUUGAUAUAUAUGACUAUAUUCUUGAUCUAAUUGAAGAUAUUUAUCAAUUAAUAAAAUAUUUGUUUCCUUAUGUGAUAAUUGAUUAAUUAUUUUGAUUAAAUUGGUAAAUUGUUUUGCAAGAAAUCAUUAAAUAAAUCAAAUAUGGAUAAUUAUGUGAUUAAAUGUUAAUUUAGAUUAUUUGUUAUUUGAUCCUUGUGUUAUGAAAAGUUUCAUAUUUUCCCCUUUAGGUUUUAUAGUUUAAAUUUGAACCCAAAAGUUUUGUUGUUUUGAAAUUUAAAUAGUUAAAACCCUAAUGUUUUGAAAAAGGUUUCAAAACUUGCCCUCAAGUUUUGGAAUUUAAAUUUUGAUUAAUAGUUUAAUUUUGAUGUAUAUUUAAAUUCUAAACCCUAAUGUUUUGAAAUGUUUCAAAACUUGCCCUCAAGUUUUGGAAUUUAAAAGUUGAUUAAAAGUUUAAUUAGGAAUGUUAAAUUCUAAAACCCUAGUAUUGUUUUGAAAAAGUUCAAAUCACACCCUUAUGGUUUUAUUAAUUAAUUAAGGUGUAUAAUUAAAAGAGGUUUAAUAAAUCCAUAAAAGUUUAGGUUUACAAUUUAAUUGAAUUAAAAGUAUAAUUGUUAAAUUAGACCACCUAGUAUUUUAAAAGUAUAAAAUACACCCUAUACUAUAUAUAACAUUAAAAGUCUAACAUUAUAUAUAUGUAUGAGUAAAAGUCAGUCUUACCGUUAGUAGGCCUCAUUCACGAAGCUGGUCUAUAAGGGGUGUUUAAGGAAAUUGCCUAUAAAAUGGCGAUUGAAUGGGUAUCCACUCUUACCCACCGCACUCUUGACUAGUGGAGGGUCGUUAGCCGAACGGGUAGGAUAGGACGAAACCUUCCAUUAUAAGUAUAAUGAAUUAUUAAAGUAACUAAAUGUUUUCAUAAAAUUCCCAAUCUUAGUUACUUAGGCAAAAGUGAAUUGAUGCAAUUCCAUGAAAUUACACUUUGUGCCCUUGCGAAGACGUUAGUGGAGCGUGUGUGGUUUACCGGCACACUAAAUGGUUCUAAGCAAAGGUAGCAAAGGGUGACUCAAUGUUUGUCAUAGUUCGGUGGAGCGUGUGUGGUUUACCGGCACAUCGAAUAGGUGACUGUAACAUGUGAGGGCACCAUGUAAGUUUGCAUGGUUAUUCACACCCGCUUUGUGAUCCUCGGCAUCCCAGUCACAAACAAGAGGGGCAUAUCGAGAUUUAAACAUGCCAUUGAAAGUUCAAUGAAUCUCAAAGGAUCUAGGAGUUUUCAUAGAUUUAAAACUUAAAUUUCUUUUUCGUUUUUCAUGGUGGAAAUUAGUGAAUCGUCAUUCACUUACCUUCAAAUAUUCUGCAAUUAGGGUUACGGCAUCCCUCUCCCGAGUUGUAGAAUAUUGUGUUGGGUCCUAGCCUUAGUAUCUCAUUUGGGUGAUUUACUAAGGACUCAAUCAAUCAACUAACUUGAAUUCGUUUUCUCCCGUUUUGUAGAUGUCAAAGUUCGACAACUAUGGUCUUCCCAAAUCCCGUGGAACAAGCAUUCCACAUGAAGAUGAUAUUCCACGAUUCGAUCGAGGAACAAGAAAUCAUGCUUCACUUCCUCCUCCUCCUCCAAUUAUUCUCCCUAACCCACAAGUUCAAAGGCUUGAAAAGUUCAAGAUCACUCAAGCCCUUUUGGCAAGUAAACAUAAAGAAGGAAAGUCGGUGUGUGCACACGUCCUAGGGAUGAAGUCACACAUUGAUAGGUUAAGAAUGUUGGGAUCCGUUGUCUGUGAGGAAAUGGCUGUUGAUUGGGUUCUUCAGUCACUUCCUAACUCAUAUAGUGAGUUCGUAAGAGAGUACUAUAUGAUGAACCGCGACGUGACCCUUAUAGAUCUCACCUAUAUGCUUAUUGCUGCUGAAUCAGCAAUGGUUUGGCGCAAUAGAAAAGCAAAGUUGAUUGGUGAAUCUGCCUUCAAGACCUCUAUGGAUAUAGACAAUGGCAACGAAAGACAUGCUAUGAUCGAAAAGUUUGAUCAUAAGAGAAAGGCAAUGUCUGAAGUAGUUCCAUGUCAUGUUCCAAAAGAGUCAAUUUGCUUUUAUUGCCAAGAGAAAGGGCAUUGGAGACGAAGCUGCCCCAUUUACCUAAGAGAUCUAAGAGAUGGGAGAGUCGAAACGUAUGGCUCUAAUAUAGGUAAAAUCCAUUAACUAACUCUUUUAAGCUUCUAUUCUAGAUUCUUAAUACAUAAUGUGAUAAGAUUACAAUUGAUGUUUUGUAGGAUCGAAGAAAAGAAAGGAAGCUUAAGGGAAGAAGUGAGCAGAAUCUAACCGUGAAGGAAUGGAUUUCGAUCGCAUUUCUCGAAGAUUAGAUUCUUGAGCUACUACUUAGAGUUAGAAUUAGAUUGCUAAGAAAGAUGUAUUAGCAUAGUUUUUCAAUGAAUUGCAUUGUAAGGACAAAUUUUUUCCGCAAUAAAAUAAAUUUUGAUUUUAUAUUAUUUAUUUAUCCUUGCAAUGGCGUAUAUGAAAAAUUGAUGUUUGAAUGUUUCUAUUAUUAGCAAUAAUGGAUUUGGUUCUUAUUAUGUUAUUUAUGGAAAGUCGAGAAUUUACCAAAUAGGGAGAGUUUCUCAUCGCCCAAGUUUCAAUUGGACAGAAACUUGGAAUCAUGCAACUUGGUUGCACGAUGAAUGAGAAAUUUCAUAUUUGGAAAUUAGACUAAUUCAUUGACAAAGUGUCAAGUGAAGGACUAGGAGAUCGAGUACACAAAGUUGCGUGUUGAUCAAGUCCACCAUAAGAGUAACAAAGAUAUUCGUCAUGAUUUACUAAAGGUUUAGUAAAUAUGAUUAUACUUACAAGAUUAAGUGUAAUUCUGAAUUGAUUGAAAAAGUUUAAAUCAAUAGCAGAACGAAUAAGAAGAAUCAAGUAGGCAGAAAGAUAAAAGUUUCUCCAUUCUAAGAAGAAGGGAGAGUACCUUUUAUGCUUUAUGAUAGGUCUUAAUGAUUAAGAACCAUAUCUCAAUUGAUCCUCUAAGUGAGUCUUAGUACAAUUGUAUGUCUAAGAAGAGGAAUCAAGAAUUGAAGAAAUGGUUAAAUCAAGAAGUCAAUCAUACUUCGUUCCAAAACAAGUCUUAGAGUUAAGAUUGUGACAUUGAGUGAUAAGUAUUAAGAAGGUUUAUAACAUUCAUCAAAUGUGGAAAGUUGUGAUGUCUUGGAUAAGACAAAGACCAACUAGGACCAAUUUAUGAAGUGUUUUGAUAAAAGCUACACUAACUCUUGAAUAUUUGUUUGUCAAGAAAUGUUUAUUGACAAGAGAAUCUUAUAUGUCAAGGAGUCAGUGGGAGUCUUAAUGGUCUUGAAAGGUUUCAAGAACAAAUCAAAUAAACCUUAUCGAUCAUCACUAGCACACGAGUUGAGGUUUACAACCUAUCGUGUUGACAUUAUUUUGUUUCUGUGCCAAUCCAAUCGAGUUAAUUAUGCAUGUGAGUUCUAUGAGUUCUCAUUUUGAACGCAUAAAAGGCAAAGCACCUUAAUCAAUGAAAGGUACAUUGAUAGGAAAGGGUGAGCUGCUUAACUACUUGGAAGACAUGGUGGGCAGCUGUGCUACCAUAAGGCAAGAAAUCAACACUAAGAAAGUUCGGUCCAUAUGAGUUUGAAUUUGUUGUAAACUUUGGUUUUAACAAAUUCACAUGGAUAGGAACAAAUACACCGUUUAAAUCUAAGUGUCAUAAGAUUUCCUCCUUCAUGAAAAUGAUUGUGAGGAAAUGCUUUCACUAAGAAAGAUUUUAAGAAGAUAGUGAUUGUAAAAUUGCAUUCUCGAAUUCGAUUAUGGUUACGGUAUCCCUUUCCAUAAUUUGAAUUGUGAGGUUUGGCAAUUAGUCUUAAUUGUUUAGACACACAUAUGAACUAUCGAAGGCAAAGGUGUAUAAGUUCAAGAAGCAUUGAUAAAGGAUUAUCAAAGCACUAAGUAUUAGAAACAUGAACUUAAGAAAUUCAAUAAGUAUUGUUUUCUGAAAGUUAAGAUGUUUAUGAAUACAUGUCGAAGCUAGUGGGAGCAUAAGUGUUAUGUUUUAUAAUAAUCAUCAUGAUAGUGGGAGCAUAAAUGUUAUGAUUGUAUGAUUAUUAAGGAAAGUAUUGCAAGGUUAGCAAUAUUAAUUAUAGAAAACAAGAGUUAUACCUUGCAAGUCGUAAGGGUUGUAAAGUUGUUAAUAAAUUUAAAGGCUUAGGUUGAGAAAUGUUAAUAAAUUUAGUCAAAAGCACAUAGUGUGUUCUCAAAAUUUCGAUUAUGAUUACAGCAUUCCUCAAUUCGAAUUUUGAGAACAUAAUAAAUAAAAUAUUAUGGCAGAAGAUUGAUAAAGUAUCAAAUCUUUAUGUAAGACAUUAUGCAUCGUGUCCCAUACGCUUCGGAUAUAGGAUCGAUUUCAAAUGCUAUAAUAUUUCACCAUUCUAAAAUUUUCCAAAUGUCGAGCGCAUUUAGAGGGAAAAGGGACUAGAAUUGGUUUUGACUAAAAUAAUUAAACAACUAUCAAAGGACAAUCCAAAGUUCGACGAGGAUUGGUUGCUUGUGAGUAGUUGGAAGCAUGGUAUUGAAUGGACCAUAUCGACAUUAUUAUGAAAAGAUAAGAUUGUAUUAAGAAUAAGUUGUCAUAUGGAAAAUAUGGAAAUGUAUCCAUAUUGGGAAUUGAAUAUUGAAAAUCUAUGACUAGAUUAGAAACUUUUAUGCAAAAGGAUGUUCAAAGAAUGUACUUUGAGUGAGAGACAUCACGUCUAUGGAAUUGUCUUGUAACAAUCUCCGAUAGAGGACUUUGUAAUAUCAUUGGCAAUAGUCUUUGUGACUUUGGUGCAGUGACAUUACGAAAGGAUAAGUUGCAUAGAAUGUUAGAAUCUAGCAUAUUGUAUAAGUGACAAGAAUUUGAUAUUCUUACACUUAUUAAAGCGGAUUUGGAGUUGUGAAAUGAGAAUGAUUGGAAAUGUGUUCAAUUUGAUCUAUUUCACAAAGUAAGAACCACAGGUAAACAUUGUGUGCAUGCUAGGAGCAUGGGACAAGUGUUGUCAUUCAAGUAAGAAGUUGAUUAACCGAAACGACAAAUAAUGAGUAAUCGAUAUGGUGAUAAAUAAAAGGUGUUUUAUUUAUGCUCAAAGGGUUGAGGCCAUAUGGGAUUAGUAUUAUUCUUGUGUUUCACAUUUGCAUGUUUUGACUUCCAGAAUAAUUGAGUUUAUUAAGAAUAAUCGAAUUAUUCAAACGGGCCACAGUCGUUCAUAUGUUGGAAGUAGAUAUGAAUGAAGACUGUCGUGAAUUGGUGUGUGGAUUGUCUAAAGAGCAUUAGACAUAAGCAAAUGUUUGCUGCAACGUUCAUGAGUGCUUAUGAAUAUGAUUUGAGCAUUGGAUUAAACCCACGCUCACUUGGAUCACUCCAUGAAUUGUAUCACGAGUGAUUGGUGAGACGAUAACAUCUUAUAUUCUUGAAACCGAGAUGUGUGAGUUGUAUCUUGCAAAUCGGUUGCACAUUGAUAAUAUGUAAACGCACUAGUAACUUGGUGUUAUAAAACAUAUUGUUGUGUGUGAUUCGGUGAGUGAGUGCAAGCAAGCAUUGUAUCAAAUUUUAUCCGUUCCUUUUAUCCAAAGUAGGAUAAAAGCGAUAUCUUUGGGCCCCUCGAUGAUUUAGUGAUGACAAACGUAAAUGCUCGGCCGGGCUAGGGCUAAUUUGAUUUGUUCAAUUAGUCAGUCGUCAUAAAUCGGGAAUCGAGAUAUAGUACAAAGAGAAUGAUUUGAAAUCAU
RNAcentral lists this long non-coding RNA (7925 nucleotides) under Lactuca sativa (garden lettuce). RNAcentral describes it as "long non-coding RNA (LSAT_LNC000463)". The record is from RNAcentral. Lineage: Eukaryota; Viridiplantae; Streptophyta; Magnoliopsida; Asterales; Asteraceae.